This 75-nucleotide transfer RNA is filed under the name Planctomycetota bacterium. RNAcentral's name for it is "tRNA-Glu". It matches the Rfam family "tRNA". From Rfam's summary of the family: Transfer RNA (tRNA) molecules are approximately 80 nucleotides in length. Their secondary structure includes four short double-helical elements and three loops (D, anti-codon, and T loops). Lineage: Bacteria; Pseudomonadati; Planctomycetota. The record is from RNAcentral. RNAcentral also lists the same sequence under 3 other names.
GCUCCGUUCGUCUAGCCCGGCCCAGGACACCGCCCUCUCACGGCGGAGACACGGGUUCAAAUCCCGUACGGAGUA